GUAUUCUGCACGGACUGCUGGGCAGCACUAGCACUCUGGAGAAGGUCUGCCGCUGUCUGCACUUUCCUGGUUCUAUGCAGGCAGAUGAGUGUCACAGCUGUAACUGAGGCACAGAGCAGUACACACAGUGGAGCCGAUUUCCGCGAUGGCGAGAGGGGGCACCGGAGGUGACAACAAUAACAAGACUGUCCUUCGGACAAGUUUUAGAUUCUCAGGAUGAUGGAGUGAGUGAUGGAAUAGGUUGCCAACUGUAGUUACUCCACUCAGCACAGAAUGGCUGCGGGGAAAUAUAAUCAGACAUGCCCAAAGAAGUCUGCUUAGGGUGAAACAAAUACCUUUGAGGUUUAAAUCAGAAAGGAAGGAGAGACUGUUUCUACAGGUGUCAUACAAAAAUCAAUACUGAGCCAAGGAUUAUUGGAUCCCAUAGAACCACGGAGACUUGGUAGUGAAAUUCUUCCAAAGCAUUCCAUCCGUGCAGGCAGAUGGUGUUCCUAGGUUUGGAAAUAUAAAUCCCAUGGGAAGUCAGCUGAAGACCAUUUUAUGCAUCACUCAUCCUGUUAGAGCCCUGUGCUGUUCUGUCUCUCUAUAAGACUGGCUGAAACCACCACGGUUGUUUACAAUUUAUGCUCUAACUUUGGAUCACCUAGUUAAUACUCUAACUCCGAUUAUUACCAAAGACAAUGUUCUAUAAAAGAUAUUGUCUAUUAGAAGGAUGCUUCUGCAUUAUUAAUAAAAUCACAGGGAAAAUGCAACAUUUUGGAUGUCACAUCUGAUAAGUUGGCAGUUAAAGAACAGAAACAGCAAUAAGACUGCGUGGCUACAUUUUCCCAGUGCCACCAACUGGGAUUUAAGCUGACUAACAUUUUGAAAGCCCAGCCCAUUUCAUUCACAGCAGGAUGGCAGUGGGUGACUGAUCGUACCCGCCAGCUGGCUAAUGUCAUAAUUAACAAAGUUGCUACUACAUCUGCAAAGUUUAAUCGAAAAAUUUGCCAGUGAUAUGAUGGCCUUGUCACAGAGAUCACAAGGGACACGGAGUUGACUUUUGCUCAAGGUGGAACGACAGAGCUGUGUAGGCAAGAUGAGAAAUUGCGAACUUGUUCGGCCAAAGGAGGCUAAUAAUGAAGGGGCCGGGAAGGAGGCCAGUGCUACCAGGGUUAUCUCACAACCUCAGAUGCUGGAUAAGUCGACGGAGGCAGAAUCGCUUUGGGAUGACAUUCAGAAAGCCUGGAGUGAUUACUUGCAAGAGAAAAGCCUACCUAUUCUUUCCAAGGUGCAGGAAUAUUCCCCUGACCUGCUCAUCCAGUGGUCCAGUAAUGAAUUACUGGAGACCUGCCUUAGACAAAGAAUGCACUCGGAGCCCCAACACACCUAAAGCCAUGCUUUGAAGGAUCUGCCAAGCUCACUUUUAAUCAUGAGAAAGAAAUUACCCACACGGAGUCAGCAGAAAAUGAGAAAGUAGAGCUCGUGCUGUGAAUAAUUCCAGCAAGUGCCAAGGGGCUAGUUGAGGAAUGGCUUCAUGAGAACAUGCUCUAGGGGAACUAUUAAUAGCCCACCAGUCGGGUAGGCAGCAUUCAAUCCUUCUAUGCCUUCUUUCGCCACCUGUUGAGGUCUUUCUUCUGAAACAAAGAAGAAAUAGACAAAUCAGACUUGCCCUCUUGGAAAUGUGGUCCAGAUUUCUCUACUCCCAAGCUCCAAAAAAGAUGUUAGUCUAAAACAGCACCUUGGAUCUAAGCAGCACCUUUGAGAAAGAAAAGACUGCUUCAAGAAUGUCUAGUUGCACCUCCUUUCCGUAUGUGGCCUAAAUGCCUAGGUUGGAUCAAUAGUUUAAUUUUUUUAUUGAACUGUUUAAUAUUGACUAUGGACUUACAUUCACUUUUACUGUUUUCUGUAUAUUUACUUUUGCUUGAAGUGUUUUAAUAUUGACUAUUUACCUCUGCUCAUUUUUAUUGAUUUUCUGUAUUUUUUCAAUGAAAAUUAUAAUAAAAAUUAUUUUUGUUA
Molecule: long non-coding RNA, 1998 nt
Filed under: Homo sapiens (human)
Lineage: Eukaryota; Metazoa; Chordata; Mammalia; Primates; Hominidae
Source: RNAcentral